This 605-nucleotide ribosomal RNA is filed under the name uncultured bacterium. RNAcentral's name for it is "bacterial SSU rRNA". It matches the Rfam family "Bacterial small subunit ribosomal RNA", at positions 56 to 651 of the family's 1533-position model. The record is from RNAcentral.
UGCAGUCGAACGGAAACGAUGCUAGCUUGCUAGCAGGCGUCGAGUGGCGGACGGGUGAGUAAUAUAUAGGGAUCUGCCUAAUAGUGGGGGACAACAUGUGGAAACGCAUGCUAAUACCGCAUACGCUCUACGGAGGAAAGUGGGGGACCUUUAGGGGCCUCAUGCUAUUAGAUGAACCUAUAUCGGAUUAGCUAGUUGGUAAGGUAAUGGCCUACCAAGGCGACGAUCCGUAGCUGGUUUGAGAGAAUGAUCAGCCACACUGGGACUGAGACACGGCCCAGACUCCUACGGGAGGCAGCAGUGGGGAAUAUUGCACAAUGGACGCAAGUCUGAUGCAGCAAUGCCGCGUGUGUGAAGAAGGCCUUCGGGUUGUAAAGCACUUUCAGAUGUGAGGAAAAGCGAUUUAUUAAUACUAAAUUGCCGUGACGUUAACAUCAGAAGAAGGACCGGCUAACUCCGUGCCAGCAGCCGCGGUAAUACGGAGGGUCCAAGCGUUAAUCGGAAUUACUGGGCGUAAAGCGCGCGUAGGCGGAUAAUUAAGUCAGAUGUGAAAUCCCUGGGCUCAACCUAGGAACUGCAUUUGAUACUGGUUAUCUAGAGUAUGG